Non-coding RNA from Odocoileus virginianus texanus, 235 nucleotides. NCBI's taxonomy places the organism in Eukaryota, Metazoa, Chordata, Mammalia, Artiodactyla, Cervidae. The record is from RefSeq and is a predicted model, not a curated record.
CUCCCCGGGGCGCCCGCGUGUGUCUGAGCCGCGGCGGCCGGGUCUUCUGUGUCGGCGAGAGCCAGUCCAUUGAUGACUUAAACAAAUGGGCCCUGUUCCUGGUUUCUCCUUUUAUACUUGAAGCAGAGCACAUCGCAUUUGUGACAGAGAGCAUUUGGGUGCAAGGUGAGAAUUUACAGAGACCGGCAUCCUCUUCGGAAACUCUCAAAGUGCAAAAGGAAAGCGGACUGUUUGC